RNAcentral lists this long non-coding RNA (857 nucleotides) under Homo sapiens (human). RNAcentral's name for it is "HSALNT0377528". The record is from RNAcentral. Lineage: Eukaryota; Metazoa; Chordata; Mammalia; Primates; Hominidae.
GUGUUAAUUAAGCAAAAUAAGUCAAGCAAGUCAAGACUUCCAAGCAUUUGGUUUCAGAAAGUGUACUUUGGCUACUAUGUGGAAGCAGAAUUGAAGGAGAGGGAAACUGGAGAACGGAUGAACAGUGUCUCUUGGAAAAUUGAGCUGUAAUAAGGAUCCAGCCAAGAGGAGGGUGGAGUGAAGAAUUCUGUGGCUCUGUAAUACCUGGGGCGUUUGUCCCACUCAGCACAUCUCAGUGUCUAAAUACCCACCCUCAAGAAGUGGGACUGCAGCAGGAAGUGAAGUAUCUUUGCAUAUGUUCAAUAUAUAAACUAAACUCGAACAUCUGGCAAACACCCCUUUCCUGGGUGAAUUCUGGAAAACAGCACAAUUAUAAUCCCAAGCAAAUAACUCAGGAGUAAGACUGUUCCCUUGUUAAGAACACCAGGCAGCAUCAGUAAAAGUUAAAACUUCUUCUGCAUCUAUGCGCUUUUAAUCUCCACGGCCAUUUCCAUAAUACCUGAGAUUACCUGCGUUGAUAGCUGGUGAGAAAUCAUCCCAGGCACCGCAGGUGGAGAAAAGAGAUGAAAGCUACCUCAAGGCGUACACGUAAACCUUACUGAACAAUGACCUUGAUCGUUAGAAAGUCAAGAAAAUGUACUGCCUUGCAAGCUGCCGGUGUUCUAUUGAGUUUCUCUCCGGGGGCAACUCGGAGAUGCCUUUUUGGCACCAUCGGUUCUAGUAUUUCCUCUGGCCUGCUGCGCCGCGCCUCAUCCAGGCUUGUAGUGAGGCACCCCCACUCGCCCGGAGACCCGGGCCGGCCAGGAGGUGCCAGUGGGCAGGUGUGGCAGCCUGCCUGUUGAUUACAGUCCCUACAA